UUUACAACGAAUGUAAAAGACAAGUCUCAGGAAAAGAUGUAAUUUUAUGGAAGAAAAAAGAUAGAAAAUAACAUUACCCAAAUGAAAACAGAUGAAGAUAAAGAUCAUUUCUUGAACAAUAUCUUCACAUCAUGGCUGGGCAAAGUGGAAAGAGACAGAAAACUGAAAAGUGACAACUUAAAAACUUUCUUUAAACAUAUCACUCUGACACCAAUGUGUAAGAUGAAGUGGACAGGAAUGGAACUGUACUGGGAGGCUCUGACAGUUCGGGUGAGAAGAAAUGAAGGGUCCUGUAAGCAGAUGAGCAGAUGAACAGAAGAGCAGAAGAGCAGCACAGCCGAGAAGGAAUGAAUGGCACAGCAGAGAAGGAGAGAAGAGAAGGAGCAUCUGAACGUUGAGAGUUCAACUAGAAAUGGUCAGAGAGGAGACUGAUCAUGGGAUAGCCAAACUCCAGGAGAAGAUUAUGUUCCCACUCCAUCCCCUUUCCAGAUCCCC
Molecule: long non-coding RNA, 495 nt
Filed under: Homo sapiens (human)
Lineage: Eukaryota; Metazoa; Chordata; Mammalia; Primates; Hominidae
Description: HSALNT0327136
Source: RNAcentral